Molecule: ribosomal RNA, 253 nt
Filed under: uncultured bacterium
Lineage: Bacteria
Description: partial 16S ribosomal RNA
Rfam family: Bacterial small subunit ribosomal RNA
Source: RNAcentral
UACGUAGGGGGCAAGCGUUGUCCGGAAUUAUUGGGCGUAAAGAGCGCGUAGGCGGUCCGAUAAGUCGGCUGUGAAAGUCCAGGGCUCAACCCUGGAAAGCCGGCCGAUACUGUCGGACUAGAGUCCGGAAGAGGCAAGUGGAAUUCCCGGUGUAGCGGUGAAAUGCGCAGAUAUCGGGAGGAACACCAAUGGCGAAGGCAGCUUGCUGGGACGGUACUAACGCUGAGGCGCGAAAGCGUGGGGAGCAAACAGG